Molecule: long non-coding RNA, 1783 nt
Organism: Lepidothrix coronata (blue-crowned manakin)
Lineage: Eukaryota; Metazoa; Chordata; Aves; Passeriformes; Pipridae
Exons: 3
Source: RefSeq, a predicted model, not a curated record
CUCUCCAGCAAUCCCUGCUCCCGCAGCCUCUCCCGCAGCGACUUCAUCUUCCUCAGGGGCACCCUGCGGACACCGGGAUCCGUCACCGGGAUCAUCCCACAUCCCGCAUCCUUUGGGACGGGGGCCCUUCCCGGCGCUCACCUGGUCCCCAGGCCCUGGGCCAGGACCACCAGGGAGAGGAGCAGGAGCAGCUUCAUGGCGGGAGCUCCGGGAAUGUGAGCCUCCGCUCCCGCUCCCGCUCCUUAUAUCCCGGCUCCCGUGUUUGGCCGGCGGCUCCGAUAAGGAAAGCAAACGGUUCCUGGGAAUCUUAUCACAACGUCCUUAAGGAAGGACAAGGUGACCGUUCCAGGAUCCACGUGGUGCCGUGAGGGAAGCCAAGAUUCCUGGCCCAGCUCCAGUGACCUUCAGCAUUCCAGUGGCAUCCGGAGCCGGACCUUCCCCUGGCUGCUCCCACUUUGACCCCACAGCUGGUCCCAGUUCUGCAGCAGCACCGGGAAAGGAGCUGCCAUCCCGGGGGAUCAGGACUCCAGAUUUUCCAAUGGAAGGUUUUUGCCAGGAAUGGGAAGUUUCAGGACAAGUUGGUUGUAAAUCCCAUCCCCGGGAGGCAAAAUCCCUCCGGAUUUUUGGAUGAAUCCUUAUCCCCAGCGGGAAGAAGUUGUGGGAUUCAGGGACGGGGAGAAAAUGGGAAUUAACGUUCACCACUAAUUAAAUCAGGAAUAAAAAGGUGGGAGGAUGGAAAAAUAACCCCUUUGAGGGUGUGAAAUGGCUUUUCCUCAGGGAGAAAUCGGGAUUUUUCCAACCCCGGUGGGGAAAUUCAGGGAUCCUGGAAUAAUCCAUCCCGGAGCUGGGAUUUUAGGUCGGGAGCAGGUGACCGAGGCCUCCCUGUCCCAGCUUUCCUUGGCACCAGAGGGCACCAAAGGAUGGGAAGAUCCCAAAAAAACCCCGGAUCUGGAUCCAUUCCUGAUUCAGGCAGGGAUUCCUGGUCAAAUCCUCCCUCCAAAAAAUUUAGGUUUGUUCCCAGAUAAUCCUGGUUUUAACGUGGAAACGCCACUUGGGAUGGAUUUAACUCCCACGGGAAUCACCCUCUGAAUCAACAUUUCGGGAUUUUCCGGCUUUUGGGACAUCAAAAGCCCGGGAACUUCCUUAAUUUUACCCCCCCAAAAAUCCCCUAACGGGGUCAGGGUUUAUCUUGGAAUGGAUUCAGGAAGGAAACUUGUUUUCCAGGCCCUGUUCCCAGUUCUUCUUGUCCCUUUAUCACCCCGGAGCUUUAUCGGAGCUGUCAGAUGAAAGGAGGGAAUUCUGAGGCUCCUGAGGAGGCAAAUCUCUGGGAUUUGCUUAAAAAUAUUGAAUUAAGUUAUCAAGGAUCUUGGCAUUCCCUGUGGGAAUGGAAUUCUGCCGGACAGGGACCUCAGAUAACCUUUUCCUACCUGGUUUUGGGUGGGAUUAACACAAAAUCCGAGGGGGGAAAAACCCAGGUGUAACCAUCUUUUAUGGAAAUUAGGGAGAUUAAUAAGAAAAUAAUGGGAAUAUCCUUUAAAAAGGAAAAAUUAUCCCAAUUUUUUUUGCCAGGUAACAUAUUUAAACGGAUAUUUUCCCAUUUAUUCCUUGCGAAUCUGAAUACAAUUUAAUUUAUCCUUAAUCCUUAAAUUUUAAUGUAAAAGAAUCCCAGGCGGAACUAUUUUAAUGGGAAUUAAGGAUAUUAAUAAACAGGUAAUGGGAAUAUCCUUCCAAAAACAUGGAAAUUAAGGAUAUUAAUAAAGUUUUAAUGGGAAUAUCCUCCCCA